Molecule: ribosomal RNA, 353 nt
Filed under: uncultured bacterium
Lineage: Bacteria
Description: bacterial SSU rRNA
Rfam family: Bacterial small subunit ribosomal RNA
Source: RNAcentral
AGAGUUUGAUCAUGGCUCAGGAUGAACGCUAGCUACAGGCUUAACACAUGCAAGUCGAGGGGAAACGACAUCGAAAGCUUGCUUUUGAUGGGCGUCGACCGGCGCACGGGUGAGUAACGCGUAUCCAACCUGCCCACCACUUGGGGAUAACCUUGCGAAAGUAAGACUAAUACCCAAUGACGUCUCUAGAAGACAUCUGAAAGGGAUUAAAGAUUUAUCGGUGAUGGAUGGGGAUGCGUCUGAUUAGCUUGUUGGCGGGGUAACGGCCACCAAGGCUACGAUCAGUAGGGGUUCUGAGAGGAAGGUCCCCCANAUUGGAACUGAGACACGGUCCAAAACUCCUACGGGAGCAC